This 404-nucleotide unclassified non-coding RNA is filed under the name Hevea brasiliensis (rubber tree). Lineage: Eukaryota; Viridiplantae; Streptophyta; Magnoliopsida; Malpighiales; Euphorbiaceae. The record is from RNAcentral.
GUAAUGUUAAGUUUCUGUCUUACUUCAGAGAAUCGGUGGCAAAUAUACAGAUAAAACUUGAACAAACAUAUGAGGUUUGUAAUCCUUGUAUUCUAGACAAUAAAACUGCCUGCUUAUAAAUUAUUUGAUCUACCUAAUGCCCUCUGGCCUAAGAAGGUAUAAUAUGAAAUAAUAUCACUGAUACUCCAAACAGAACCUUUCAAUGGAACAGUAGGCGAACCUCUUUUGAAUUAAGAAGCUGAGUGCUUGCCCUCGCACUCAGGAGUCUCGUUGAAGUUAUUCGAUGGAUAUUUAGCGGUAACCAUCCCAACUUCAAACACCAAAUCCUCGUCAUUAGACCUAAUCCCUGUUAUAGACCACCAUUUAAAGAAUGCCCAGACCCGAAUCCCUUCCAGCUUCGCGAU